UGGUUCCUGCAAUGCCAAGAUUCAGAAACUUCUUCUGAGAUGGACAAGUGGGCGAUGACUCUCCAUCAGUUUGGUUCUCUUCUUGCACGCUUCUGUUUGCAGUCAUAUGCGUAGAUAUCUUCAGCGCAUGCAGGUGUUUCACAAUGAUUGAUUGAAUAAUAGGUGUUUGAUCGAACAUCUUUGUUUAGGAAUUGUAUUGGCGAUGGGAUUGAUAUCGAUGCAUGAAGUGUUGAUGUAUAGAUCAGGCAAGACUGCAGCAGGUACUGAUUUGCAUUUGUAUUAUGGCCUUGCCAUGUCGGGUGCGCUUGCUUGGCAGGUCAUACAUAAUAAAAACAAUGGUUUUUGGUUGAUGGAGGGAGAUGGUACGGGGUUUGCCUGACUCUCCCUCCAUGUGGGUGUGUGGUUCUUUCCCCUU
This is a long non-coding RNA of Cynara cardunculus var. scolymus (artichoke), 415 nucleotides long. RefSeq lists it as uncharacterized. NCBI's taxonomy places the organism in Eukaryota, Viridiplantae, Streptophyta, Magnoliopsida, Asterales, Asteraceae. The transcript is spliced from 3 exons. The record is from RefSeq and is a predicted model, not a curated record.